Molecule: ribosomal RNA, 253 nt
Filed under: uncultured bacterium
Lineage: Bacteria
Description: partial 16S ribosomal RNA
Rfam family: Bacterial small subunit ribosomal RNA
Source: RNAcentral
UACAGAGGUGGCAAGCGUUGUUCGGAAUUACUGGGCGUAAAGCGCACGUAGGCGGCUUGGUAUGUCGGGUGUGAAAUCCCCGGGCUCAACCUGGGAACUGCAUCCGAAACUGCCUUGCUCGAGUAUGGGAGAGGGAAGUGGAAUUUCCGGUGUAGCGGUGAAAUGCGUAGAUAUCGGGAGGAACACCAGUGGCGAAGGCGGCUUCCUGGCCUGUUCUUGACGCUGAGGCGCGAAAGCUAGGGGAGCAAACGGG